GACGAACGCUGGCGGCAUGCCUAAUACAUGCAAGUCGAACGGAUCUUGUUUGAGAGCUUGCUCUCAAGCUUGGUUAGUGGCGGACGGGUGAGUAACACGUAGGCAACCUGCCCAUAAGAUCGGGAUAACAUUCGGAAACGGAUGCUAAGACCGGAUAAACAAUUUGGCCGCAUGGUUGAAUUGGGAAACACGGAGUAAUCUGUGGCUUGUGGAUGGGCCUGCGGCGCAUUAGCUAGUUGGUGGGGUAAUGGCUCACCAAGGCGACGAUGCGUAGCCGACCUGAGAGGGUGAACGGCCACACUGGGACUGAGACACGGCCCAGACUCCUACGGGAGGCAGCAGUAGGGAAUCUUCCACAAUGGGCGCAAGCCUGAUGGAGCAAUGCCGCGUGAGUGAGGAAGGCUUUCGGGUCGUAAG
RNAcentral lists this ribosomal RNA (417 nucleotides) under uncultured bacterium. RNAcentral describes it as "bacterial SSU rRNA". It matches the Rfam family "Bacterial small subunit ribosomal RNA", at positions 28 to 429 of the family's 1533-position model. The record is from RNAcentral.